Corvus hawaiiensis (hawaiian crow) is the source of this 5939-nucleotide long non-coding RNA. RefSeq lists it as uncharacterized. The record is from RefSeq and is a predicted model, not a curated record. Lineage: Eukaryota; Metazoa; Chordata; Aves; Passeriformes; Corvidae. The transcript is spliced from 2 exons.
UCUGCAUGGUCUCUGAGGAGAGAGAACAUCUCUGUUCUGUGCAGCACUCAGCCUGCUCUCUUUGCUCCAACAGUAAGAAUAGCAAACAAGAAAUGCUGCAAUUGAUGCCAGGCAGUAGGAAGCACUUGGAUAUUAUAUGAGAAAUAAAUUGAUUUUCUACAUGACCUUGGAAAAAUUUGAUGGGGCUGAUUCUGCACUGGAAGUCAAUGGGCCAUAUUCUACAAAGAGAUGAGGACUGAAACUGCAUCCCUCCUGUAUCUUCUGUCUCUGCACUUACAAAAAGAGGCCAAUAGUGUACUCCUACCUCCUCCUUGGGGUACAGCAAACCUAAAUCACCUGCUAUUUGCAAAGAUUCUAGUGUCAAAAGUAUGUAGGCUGCCUCAGCUUGAAUCUGCUGGGACUCUGAAGAGCAGGGGCUUUGCUCUGGUUGUGGGUUACCCAGCAGAGGGCAACAUCACUCUCACACACAAAAACUAUUCGUAUGCUGCUUGAUCCAAACUUGCCGAAAGCAAGAGGAAUCUUUUCUUUGGCCUUUAUAGCUCUGUUUAAAUGCAGAUUUUUACUGUAUUUCAAUAUUAGCCUUAAAAUGAAAUGCCAGUGUGUUAGCACUCCCAUGGCACCGUUGGCAGCUAGCCUUAGAAAAAAAGCUUCAAAACCUUCCAGUGCAGGCCAGAAACACAAUAGCAAUUUUUAUUUUGUUGAUGGUUGAUACAGUGCUAAUAUCCUUAACAGCUGUGACUGAGAAUUGCUUUGAGUGUUGCAUGGCUUUAGUUAAAUUUUAUCACUCUUAUCUAUUUAUUUGAUAUGUGACCCGAGGGUAUUUGAGGUACAUGUCACAGGAGCUGGAAAAGAAAGACAUCAGGUGGAUCCUGAUCUCAUGGAAACUAAUGGCAGCAUUUUCUUGCAUUUUCAAUGAGGUCAAGGGCUGUGCCUGAGCGUUCCAUCGAAGCUUAUAGUUCUCAGGGUCCUUGGGGCACUACUGAACCUUACUGACCCUGACCAGCUUCUCCCCGCUCUCUGGGAACCCAGUUUCAGCUCAGGGCUUGGCACCCAGUCCAGGCCUGAGCUAUGCUGUGGGCAUGUUUAUCUCUGACCUUGUCUUCUGGAUGGACCCUGUCCUGUCUCCAGUCCUACCUCCUGACCUUGUCUUCUGGAUGGACCUUGGAACUGCCUGGUUACUUUGUCUGGUCAGAGGCUGCUGAUUGGAUUCAUUGCUGUGACCUCCAGGCUCUGCUGCAUCUUCAGACCUUGUGAGACUGCUACCCUGCCAGUGAGGGCAUGGCCUGUGCUGGGCCACCUGUGCUUCCUGGUUUGAUCCGCUCAUGGCACAGCCCUGCUCACACUGCUCCUCCAGAGGCUCAGUUUAUGCCCUGUGAGAAAUCCCCAAUGAGAAAUUCAGUCAAACCAUUUAGAGCACUUGAAGUGAACAGGGGGGUUAUAAUAAAUCUUUGCAGGAUCACAAGUCUGUGUAAUGCAAAAACAUGCAACCCAGGAAAUAGAAAUAGUUGUAUACAGCUUAACUGAAUGGUAAGCUGUGCUUGCUGGAAGCCGGUCUUUUAGAUAACCAGAUCUAUUAAAGAAACGGCUAGUCUUCAGGCUUGCAGAGAACAGCUUGAAAAGUGAAGAACUAUAGAGGUCAAAAAAUUGAAAAUAGAGGUAUCCAGACAACCCAAUUUAUGUUUAUAGUACUUGGAAUUUAGAAGAUCAGGUGAAUUUUAAGCUAACUUCAUGAUUAUUGCAGUUUAUUGCCUGAUGCUUGAAUGCCUGUGACUAGCCAGACACAGAAGAUGACAGGCACUGAUAUUUUUUCUUCACUGUGAGGCAAAAGGUGCAAACUUCAGUCAGUUUUCUAUUAAGCUUUCCUCUCCACGUAUCAAAACAACAAAUGCAUAGAAACAAUCUGAAAUUCUGUUGGGGGGAAACAGCUAUCCUCAGGGUAUUUACCUGUAGGCUAACAAUUGAUUCACCUUUUAUAUUCCCUUCCUUUUUUCUCUUUUUUUUUUUUCAUUUAAGAAACGCAGCCCUCAGAAUGAUUGGGAUUUUCUUUUGUUGUUAAUAUGAGAUGCAAAUACUUGUAUAAAAAUUUGGUCCUGAGUAGUUGAUAUUUCAUAUGUGAGCCUCUGGGUUCUCUAACUUUCAUAUCAGGGAAGGAGUUUCUCAAUUUCAAGGGUGUUUCUGCAUGAUCGCUGCACUGGCUUUGUUUUUUGAGUUGAAGUGGGAGAAGUGUCACUGUAAAGUAGCUAAUUGCAGGGAGAAGCUUGUCCAGCCCCUGAUGGGAACUGCACCAUUUAACAGGAGAUUAAUGCUGAAUGCAGGGGGUUUAAAAUGCCUAAGGCUCAUCUGCUUGGUGUAAAUAAUGCCUCUUCCAGCUUUAAUAGAUGCAAGGAAACAACAGGUUUUGUGUGGAAAAUGUACUAUUCCAAAGUGAAAAUGGGGUAUUUUUCUCAAACUAGAUUUGGAGAAAAGUGGUAUAACAAAGUUUAAAUCCCUCAUUUGCACAGUUCUCCUGUGAGAGAAGGCUUUGAAAGUGCUUCUUGUUGCUUUUGCCCUGUAAAAUGACAUUCAGAUUGAUGGCACUUGUGGAAAGAUUUUGGGAUCUGCCAGCCCAGGUCCAGGAGCAAAAUUUGCCCUGUGACAUAUCCCUGGGUGUGCUUGCACUGUAUAAUGAACAUCGUUCAGUGAUGAACAGGAGGGUUCAGGAGGAGCUACAGUAAUUACUGAGUUCAGAUGAGUGUAAGAUCCUCUGUUGGUCUUUGGAUAAUGUGGUCAUGCACUUCUGAGAGCAAAGCUUGUGCACUGUGUCCCUUCGAUACGACUCUAGGAGUAACAGGACUGCUAAAAAGAGGUGUUCUUUCUCUUCCCCAUAGUAGAAACCUCCAAGGUUGUGCUAGUACUUCAGACAGUUGCUCGGUUAUAUUUGAAUAGCUUUGAAAAAGUCUCUUUAGCAAGGAGGGUAUUAUUUAUUGCUACUCGUAGGACUGUAGCUGUAGAUCCCCUGCGGGCCUGUAAUGCUGUAUGGAUACUCAGUGGGUAAAGAGGAGCAUCACUGCCAGGAGCUGUUAUAACCACUGUGACACAUGGGGCAAAGCCAGAAAAACCUUGGCAUUAGGGAAGGGAGCAGGAGAUCAAGGUAACAAAAUAGCUCCAGUUUAGUAAGAUAACAAGCUUGACAGACCACAGUUCACCUAAUGAAUGAAAUCAGAAUGCUUCUACCUUGAAGCACGAGUGCUGUGGCUCUUACUGCUUUUUUUCUCUUGUUACCUUCCUCCCUGGUUCUGAGAUUUGGUCAGAGAGAACAUCCUCUCUGGGACACUGCCUUUCAUUGCCAUUUUGUCUUUCUCCCUUAUCUCCUGUUAUCCUGUUCUCAUGUAGUAUUAAUGCACAAGAUGAUGAUUCUGGAAUGAGUUGACAGAGGUUUCACUGUCUGUUUUACUGGUAAAUUAUUGCUGAAGUGCCAGUCACUAAUGUAAAGGCAUUGAUUUGUAGUAUGCGCUAACACUUCCAGCUGAUGGCAUAAAUCAGUGGGUUUUACUCUUUGGUUAUCAAAUUCACACAUUUCCUAUUAUAAACUUUAGUGUACAUAGAUUUCUGCACAGCACAUGUGAAAUAACUUGUAUUAGUCAACUGUCUUGGACCUCAUAGAACAUGAGUCCAUUGAGUAGAGACCUUGAUUUAAAACAAAAGUGCAUUCAGAAUGAGGUAUCUAACCUUCACAGAGUGGAUUAAUUAAUGGAAAUGUUUGUUUAGUUUUUUUACAAAAAGGUACUAUUUCAUAGGAAGAUUAUGUGUAUUUUUCCAAUAGAUUAAAUUGUGAAGAUGAUUUUGAGGAAAUGACACCUUGCUACUACUAGUGAAUAAGGCAACUGAAAUUCCUCUAUAUUCAUAACCUAAAUUAAUGUUAAGCUUCUCAAAGGAUUGUGUCAGUAAUGGUGUGCAAAACAUUUCUGUAAAUUUUAGGAAGCUUAGAGAAUAAAUUGUUUGGGCCUGCCAGACUGUGGAGAAAUUGUAAAUAUAUCACUGGUGAACACAAGAAAAUGAUUUGUAAUAAGGCACACUGUUUUCUGAUUCUAAAGUUGUUGCUAUCAAAAAAACAAGUUAUGGAUGGCACAUGCUACUAAGGCUCUCUAUCAAUAUCUUAUAUGGUUAAUAUCUGUAAAAUAUCUAAAAGAGACUUUCUGAUGAUUAUAUCCUGAACAGAAAACAGCACAGCACCCAGGCAUAAGAUUGCAGACAGCCUACAGUUAGUUUUCUGGAGUGGAAACUGGACAGUAAAAUUUUUCUGAAAUUAAUGCUGUCAGUUUAAGUCAGUGUUAUCAACUGCAUCGUUUCUAGUUGGUAUUUCUACCAUACACAUGAAGCCCAUUAUCCAGGACGGUUGUGCUUAACUAUCACAGAACUGGCAUAUGUCUGUCUGAUGUAACACAUGGAUUUCCUUUGAUCAAUCCUAUCUGAAUAAGAACACUAGCUUCUUCUUCGGUGUGUUUUUAUAAACCACAUAUUUCCAUUUUAGGAAGGGUAUUUACGGCACAUGUUGAUAGUAAGUAUGUAGUUAUGCUCAUAAAUGAAAAAUAAUUUCUUAUCUGUCUUUUUUCUUUCUUCUUUUUUUCAUAUUUAACUGUAAAGGCUGGCAUCAUGCAGAUACAGGCAGUGAAAUGAUUUCAUACUCUUUUCAGGUUUUGAUAUCUUGACUAUAACAGCUCAAACCCAUGAUUUUUGGGCCUGUGUUUCUUUUGGCAUUUGUUUAGUUGAAUGGGUCAGUCUAUCCUGAGGAAGUACAGUAUUCUCUGUGUUUCAUAAAAUCCUCAACGUUAGAGCUCCUUUUUAGUUUGUAGUUGACUCUCGGUAUUUCUGCCUUCUGUCAACUCCUGCUUGCAGUCAUGGAGUGGUUUCCGAGAAGACUGACUAAAUGUGUCUGUUCUUUAGUGUCUGUCCAAAUCUCCUGCCAUUGUCUAUUGUCUGAGGCACAAAAAAAUUUAUUCCAGAGGAAAGUGCCAGAACACUAAUACAUAUUGUCAGAGACAUUGUUCCAGUAUUCAGAAAUAGACUCUGAUAUGCCAUUCAAGACUGUUAUAGCAUAAAGCUUGGGGCAGAGAUAAAGAGAGAUCCUCAUCUAAGACACUGGAAGGAAGAGAAAGAAACUAAAAACAAACUUAGGAAAAAAAAGAGAUGGCAGAUCCUGAAGCAGUUUGAAUAAUAUUUGCGAUUGGGAUAGAUUUUAUCAGCGUAGUAAAAUAAGUCGGUGUUAAAACUAAUCUGUGAAGAAGCAAAUCAUUUAUUAUUACACUUAUUAGGAUUUUAAUGAUUUUUGAAUAAAUAUACUGGAAUUCUUUUCAAACAAUCUAGAAAGAUUCAAAAUGUGGAUGCAAAAUGUCCACAGAGGUGGGCAAUAUUUCCAACAGGAUGCUAGUUAUAUUAAUUAUGAGGUUGUUAGUGAUGUUUUGCAACUAACAUACUUCUGCAACUUCUAUAGUCAUACAUGUAAAUCAUAUAUAAUAUGCAUCAGCAAUUUAUAGUUUAUUGCUAUUUAAUUGCCAGUCUUUAGUUCUACCUGACAUUAAAGCCAUGUCAAGCAUUUGGCAGCACCAAAGUUGUCCCUGAUAUUAGGAACAGUUUUUGCAAAGCAUUAGAUGUUUCUGAAUCAAAUGCAUAUUGUAUUAUUGGGCCAAAUCCUUAGAUCUUAAGAACUCUAGAUUUUGUAUGUAUUUGCAGCUGAAAUCCUGUUCUGUAUAUAUGGUUUGAAGAAUUAUUUGUACUUUUUCAGAAUAUUUCCCAUUUGCUGCACAAAUCUUCUGUACUGUAAACCCUGUCAAAAAUGAUGCGUCAGUGAAGAUACCAAUUUCAGUCAAUUUACUCAAAGGACUUCACCUUCAGCAAAGUGUAGUUAUUCUAAUUCUGGUUAUUAUUAUUACUUAAAUAAAAAUUUAUUAUUUAUUAUUGAA